CUGCUGCUGCUGCUGCGUACCGCCGGCGCCGGCGGCGGCUUUGGCCGCGCGGGCCUUGAGCCAGCCGACGACGUCGGCGAAGACCUCCUCGACGUUCUCCUCCGGCUCGCCGACGAUCUGGUGCCACAUCCCUGGGUACACGCGCAGCGUCUUGUCCCGGCUCCCCGCGCGGCGGUGCAUCUCCUCGACGCACGCCGGGUCGCACACCGUGUCCUCCCCGCCGUGCACCGCCAGCAGCGGCAGCUCCACCUCCUCGAACCGCGCCUGCAGCUCCCGGCACACCCGGAGGAGCUCGAGCGCGGUGGCGGCGCGGGGCGGCGCCGUGGUGCGGCGCNGGGAUGUUCCCCCUGGUGAAGGCGACGUGCCAUGUCGGCGCCACGGCGGCCGCCGCCCACAGCAGGUGCUCCAGCGGCCACGGCGGCUUGAACCGGGGGCUCACCCCGCACAUGGCGCCGUUGAGCACCGCGCCGUCGCGCCACCGGGCCUUGUCCCUCAGGUGCAGCAGCAGCGCGAUGGCGCCGCCGAGGGACUCGCCGUAGAGGAAGCAGGGGAGCGGGGGCGGGUGGUCGGCGCGGAAGGGGGCGAAGGCGGCCUCGCAGUCGUCCAGCACGGGGCCGAUGUCCGGGAUGUGGGCCUGGAGGCCCUCGGAGAAGCCGUGGCCCUGGUGGUCCACGGCGGCCACCGCGAAGCCCUGCUUGGCGAAGUGGACGGCCGUGAGGAGCACCAUCCAGCUCGACUCGCCGGUGAAGCCGUGGACGACGGCGAUGGCGCCGAGCACGGGGGCGUCGCCGCUCGGCACCCAGCGCUGCGUGAAGAUGCGGAGCCCGCGCGGGUUGACGAAGGUGGAGGAGGUGUGCGUGACGCCGUGCCGCGCGUAGUACUCCUCGGCGGUCAGCCCGCCGAAGGGGCUCCGCUCGUCGGCCUCCGCCACCGGAUGCACCAUGCCGAUGGCCGGCUUCUGUCCGAGCUCUGAGCGCUCGCCUUUCUUUGUUUAGUGGUGCGUUGUUGGAGUAGUAGAUGCAAACGAGGGCGAGCGGAGGGUUAUUUUUAUUUGGUACUGGUACCAGACUAGUGGUUGCACGGCCGUGUCCGGCAUCGAUCGGCAAAGGCGGAUGGGCCGAUGACGGCUGAUGAAUGCCACUACUGUGCUGCGGUAUGGUGUGGGUGUGCUACUGUGGUGCCCGUCGAUUCGUGCUAUCGAAAAAUACUCGAUUUGGAUCUGUCACUCGGCGCAGAGGACACGACGCAUUUAGUGGUCAGCGUACAGUGUGUAGACUUUACGGCAACUACUCGUUCCAAAUCAGGUACCGGGAAUUCAAUUCUCGUCAACCAGAUCUACUGAUUUUCAUUAGCGCGAUGCUACGCGUGGGCGAAAAAGAUCGUUCGCCUCAUCUGUUUUUUUUUAAGAUCCAACAUCACAUUCAUCGAUAAUAACACAGAGCAAUGGAAAACAUAAGAUGGUUAACGUUUAGGCUGGUCAUAGUGAGGAGUACUCCCUCCGUUUCUAAAUAUAACUACAUACGGAUGUAUAUAAACAUGCAUUAGAGUAUAGAUAGAUUCACUCAUUUUGCUCCGUAUAUAGUCUCGUAGUGAAAUCUCUUCAAAGACUUAUAGUCUUCUAGUGGAGUAUUUAGGAACGGAGGGGGUAUCAUAUAGUAGUAUCAUGCAUAUGAUACUAUUGUAUGAUACUACCUCCAUAAUGCAUAGUAUCAUAAACAUAUCAUUUAACAUGUUAUGGUAUCUACCUAUGUAACUCUAACCCUCUUUUUCUUCAUUAAUUAUCUGCCACGUCAGUAUGUUUGCUAGUCCUAAGUAUAUAAUACUCCCUCCUUUCCGGUUUAUAGGGCUCAUCUCAAAAUUUUCAGAUUCCCAUUAUAUUAGGCUCAUUUUGAGUCUAAGUGAGUUAAAGUGUUUUGAGUCUCACGCCAUAUUUAAUUCAUAGAGUUUAGAGAAAGGAGAUGAGUGGCUAUGUAUGCAUCUUUUUUACAUCCACCAUGCAAGUCCAAUGAAAGAAAGGAUGCUACAUUUAUUGCCUUGGAAAUUGAAUAUGUGAGAAAUAUUCCAUUGGCUAGUUUAAACUAGUGUCAUUCGCUCACAAUUCAUCUUGAUUGAUGAGAUUUCAUAUUUGAGCCAUAUAAACCGAAAAGGAGGGAGUACUACCUAAGUUAUUCCCACUAUGGCCAGCCUUAGGAUCAACAGAUCCGAAGAUCAAAGAAAAAGAAAAAGAAAAAUAGCACACGUAAAAAGUUGCAGCCUAACACUCCAAACAAACCACACUAGGCAGCGCAGCUUCGACUCCGACGACGAAUAAUGGUGAAAAACAAGGUGAGGUUGGCGUCAUUAUGGGUCACCGAACGGACCGCCUUUCACGCGUCAUCGUAUACCACCGGUCCCCCGCCGCGGCUUCACUUCACGGCACCAGACAAUCGAGACACAUCCAGGACACGUCGGAGAAGAAGAGACGGCUACCAUGACCAAGGCCACGCCUCGGAUAUUGCUCAUCGCUGUCAUCGUUGCCACAGAAGCCACUGUGCACGUUGAGUCAUAGGAAGCACCAAAGGGAUCACAGACAUCAAGACGAUGCCCUAAAGAGGACGCCACCGCCCGACCCUACAACAAGAUGUCGGCUUUCAUCCGAAGGACUUGAUCCGAAGGAACUGGUUGUGAGAUUCCCAACGACACCUCCAAGGAGGAUAGUAACGCUCACAAGCGCCGUCGACGUCGGCCGAUCAGCAUCGCCCAGGCUUUCGCUUGAGCAAACACUGUCGCACAGCAGGCCAAGGUCGACUCGUACCUCCAUUGAACGUGCACCCCCAUACAGCGAGCACGCCACUGCUGUGCAGGGCCACCAACAAGCCUUCCGACGACGGGCCUGCAAAGACUAGAUCGGCUCCUGCACCCCGCGUACAAUUUUAAAAAAGUGAACAAAUUUGGAAGCGCAAAUAAUCUUUUAAAGUACAAACAUUUUUUUCAAUUUUGAGAACAAAAACUUGAAAAGGAGAAGAAUUUUGAAAAACCCCAAACAAAGUUGAAAGCGCAAACAUAUUUUUGAAGCACGAAUAUUUUUGCAUUUUGAGAACAAAUUUUGAAACCGAGAACAAUUUUAAGAAAACAUGGACAAAUUUGGAAGCGUGAAUAGUUUUUUAAAUACACGAACAUUUCUUGAAUCUUGAGUACAAAAUUUCGAAAAACCCCAAACAAAUUUGAAAGAGUCAACAAUUUUCUAAAGAACGAACUUUUUUGAAUUUUGAGAACAAAUUUUGAAACCGAGAACAAUUUAAAAAAACUUGAACUAAUUUAUAAGAGCAAACAAUUUUUAAAAUACACAAUUUUUUUGGAAAACAUAAACAAUUUCUUACUCUAUAAACAAAUUUGAAUACAGAAGCAUUAUACAAACAUAGAACAUUUUUUUGUAAGAAAGAACAUUUUUUGAAAUUUGUGAUUUUUUUGGAAUGGGAACAUUUUUUGAACUUAUACACACUUUUUAAAACAGGAACAAUUUUGGAACUUACGUACGUUUUUUGAAACUGCAAAUAUUUUUUAGAAAUUGAAGAGUAUUUUUUAAACUUCCCGAUCAUUUUAAAAUCAUGAAUAAUUUUAGAGUUGGCGAACAAAAUUUGAAUAACUUUUCAAUUUGUGAACAAUUUUUUAAAAAAGAGAAACAUUUUUUGUAAAACAGGAUUUUUUUUCUAAAAAUGUGAAAAUAAUAACAUUUUUCUAAAAAUUGUGAACAAUUUAUGAAAAACGGAACAUUUUUUGAAAAAUCAUGCAGUUUUUUGAAUACGAGAACAAUUUUUGAAACACGAACAUUUUCCAAAAGAUGAACACAUUUUGGAAGCAGGAACUUUUUUGAAGCACGGGCAUUUAAAUAUAAACUAUGAAUAUGAGAAGAUUUUUCGAAAUUCAAAACAAAAAUUAUAAAAUGUCAAACAGAAAAAUAGGAAAAGGAGAAAGGAACAAAAGUGAAGGAAAAAUUUAAAAAGGAAAGAAAAACUUUUUUUGAGAAAAAGAACAUUUUUUUUAAAUGGCGAACAGUAUUUGAAAAUAUCGGACAUUUUUCUAAAAUACCGAACAUUUUUGGAAGCUAGGAAUGUUUUUGAAAAACGGCAAAUAUUUGAAAUUUAGAACAUUUUUAUAAAAUCAUGAACAUUUUCUGAAUUUCAAGAAAUUUUGCAAACACGAACUUAGGUUAAAAAAUAACCAUACAAAAAAAUAAGAAAAAGAAACAUAAUCACAAAAACGAAUAAACCAAAAAGAAACAGGAAAAGGACAAAAAAUGAAGCAGAAACCGAAAGUACCUGCAGAGGAAGAUGGGCCGGCCCAGUUUGUCGCGCACGUGUGCGUUUGCCCUAGGGUUUUCCGAAACGGAGAGGGUCCAAUACAUGGAGGUCCUCGUGGGCUUGAUGAGGCUCAAUCAUCGUGUGAAAUUGGCCCAAUUAACCAGAGGCCACCUAAUUUUCUAGUCGUGUAGUUGCUCGUUAGCACAAGAGACCAAGUUAGCGAGAAGUGCAACACAAACAUUGACCGGACAACCAAUAAGACCCCAAACAGAUGAUCUAACGACCAAAAUCGGUAGUGACGUGAGAAGGCUGGGUUUAGGAUCUAUUUUAAUGUUCUAAAAAUAUAUAGCUCUUACAUCACUUGCUCCGACUCGUAGCACACCCACUGUGUACCGUGUCAAUCGCUAGCCACCAACGACUUGCGGUUGGGUCCGGCACCACAUCCUCAAAGACCAAAUCAUCAUACUCAUCCUCCGCAAUCCCAGGCUCGGCUGUCGGUUCAUCCAACUCCUUUUGUACCUACGAUCAGCACGAGGAAGGUUCCGCCAUCUUAAACCCUAGGGCAAACCCCAGGAGUAAACGGCCUUCAACAAACCCUAAACUUCAACCAAGCCAAGGCCGUGCAGCAACCCGAGAUCGCCCCGUGAUCAACCUGAACGUAGAGGACAGAGGAGGGGCGCGGUGGCGAGGUGGAUCUCCACGACGGCGCAGUCGCCGAUAGGAGGGAGCCCUAAUGAUAAUGAGAAGAGAAAAAGCGAUGCAAUAAUAAGCCUAGGUAAAAAAAUCAGUACUAUAACUAGUUUUUUGGAAGAGGCAAUCUGGUGUGUAAUCAACUCAAUGAGGCGGUGGCAUAUCGUCCUUGUCGAUAAUGCAUCACCCCGAGUGAGUGGAGCGGCGGGAGCAAUCGAUUCAUCUUUUGAAUCGCUUGCACGAGUGGCGACGACGCGGCUAUCUGCGCCGGCAUGUCGGCUAACUUGCUUUGGAACGAACCAUCGUAUUUGUUCCAUCAUGUGGCAGCGCGUAUGUAUGUAUCUACCAUUCUAGCUACAACCGAAGGGAAAGGCGUCAAUAGCUAGUGGAGGCUCCGGCCGGCUUGUUUUGGCACGUACACGGUGCUCGUUGAGUUGUAAAGUUGCACAAUACAGCAGCCGCUAGCCAGCACUCCAUCUGCAAGAAACAUAACAAGGAUCAGUGCUACAAUAGAGGCCCUGGUAAUGGUGCGCCCGUUGAGUGGAUACCAUCGAUCGUUCUGCAAAACGUGCCGCCGCUACUCGUCUCACGUUCACACACGCGCGCGCCACUACGAGCUGCCAGCAAAAUAUCUCCUGGGACACCUAGCUUAUUCCACCACCGGCCAUGCAUCAAACCCACUCACGCAGAUAAGAAUUUGACUAUAAAUACACAGCCAUGCCAGAAUGGCCAUCCCACACCAGACCCUGCAUCGAGCUACAAAGCUACAACCUACAAGAGCACCACUAAAGAGAGAUCGAUAUACACAGCCCAUACGUACGUGCACUUCCACUGCCGGACUUGCACCGAAGCAAUGGCCACCAAAUCCACGGCUUGUUUCCCGGCGCUCUUCCUGGCGCUGAACCUGCUGCUGGUCGCCGGCGUCCGCGGCCAGGCCCCCGCGGGCGGCCGGAACCCGUGCCCGACGAACGCGCUGGCCGACCUCAAGGUGUGCGCCGACGUGCUGGUGCUGCUCAAGCUCAAGAUCAACGUGCCGGCCAACCAGCAGUGCUGCCCGUUGAUCGGGCAGCUCGUCAAGCUCGACGUCGCCGCCUGCCUCUGCGCCGCACUCAAGCUCAACGUCAUCGGCAUCCCUAUCAACCUGCCGCUCGACGUCCCCCUCGUCCUCAACUACUGCGGCCGCAACGCAACAGCCGCCGGCUCCAACUGCUCCUGAAGCAUAUAUACGCGCGGACAGAAUGCCCAUGCAUGCAUGCAUGAACUACCUACGUGCGUGCGUGCGUGCGUUAUUGGUGUUGCUUAAUUUACAUUCUCACAUGUAUGCCAUAGGUUUGUUGUAUCCCAAGAUGUUUCGUUGAUUGGCAUGCCGAUCGAUGAACAUCCCGAAGGGAAAUCACAAGAGUUGUUUGUGUUUUAUACUGCAAAUAAUAAACGUUCCUCCAGUUUGUCAACUGCAUGUGGCUGCUGAUUUCUCCGGUGUACGUCCAAGCGUAAAUGUGAAUAUGUGAUCUCCUCUCUAUUGAUAUGCAUGGUUUUUCAAUUUCAGUGUGAUUUCACUGAAAUUUCAUGAAUUUCAGUUACAUAUUGAAAUAGCUAUCUUUCGGUGAAAACAUUUCACUAAUUUAGGUAGCGUACACAAAUUCAAAUUAAUGAUUUGGUUUUCAAGAUAUUUGGCUGGAUCCCAAUGAAGUACAAGUAUUUUUUUUGAUCCGUUGUCCGAGACCACUAAUUAGCAUAUGUAGCAAUACCUAGAAGAAGAAAAGCUUGCGUUUUCCCUCAAAACUGUUAGCUGGCUCCUUUUCUUGGGUUCAAAUUAUCGUGGAGCUCACAUGAUGAUCUAUGACUCUCUUCAUCAGCAAUGGUCGAUGCUCUGGCUAUGUGCGACCUUAGCAUGGCCUUAGCACGGCGACUUUUUGAAUUUUCAUUAUCACAAAGUUAACAAUGCAGAUGUAUGGAUUGAAGGAAGCCUUUCCUCUCAGGUCGCUCUCGGGCGACUCUCGAGGACCCCCACCGCCACCCUCCUAGUCCACCUCCUCCACGCCCCUACCCCUCGUUGUCGUUGGAGGAGGCCUCCAGGCUAAGCCCCUCGGCGAACGGUGGCCGCAAGCCCACGCUCUGCUCUCCCCGCACCAUCAGCCUCCUCUGGGGGUCCAAAUCGAAUGCCUCCCGACCUUCCUACACAGAGUUGCCAGAUGCCCGCCAGACAAUGCGUGCUAGCCCUUCAUCGAUGGCCGCCGCUACAUGUUCCUCAUUGUCAUCGUUGGGAUUGGCUCCCAUGUUGCUCGCUAGAUCCCGCCACGACCACUAGUAGAAAACAGGGCUUUCUGCCAGCUCGAUUUACACAUUAGUCCCGGUUCGAACGGCAAGGGCGCCGGUCUGACAUCGUUCCCGGUUCAAAUGCUCGAACCGGGACUAAAGGGUUUGGAGGCUUUAGUCCGGGGACUAAAGUGUAGACCUUUAGUCCCGGUUCGAACCACGAAUCCGGACUAAAGGGGUUCUGAAUUUUUGUUUUUUUUCUAUUUUUCUAUUUUCUGUUUGUAGUUUCUGUUUUAAAUUGCUUAUAUCUUUUAGGAUAUUUGAUGUUUUUGAGUGAUUCUUUUUGCAUUAGAUUCAAAAUUUUGUCUAGUUUAUGUUUGUGCCAUUAGUUUUCAAAUUUGAAAGGCUUAAAUCUGAAUUUGUUCAAAUUUCCUUCAAACCCAGAUUGUGAAUAACUUGAGUUUACAAAUAGUUUUUAAUUUAAUUCUUUUUGCUCCUAGUCAUGUGUUAGAUUGUUGUCACAGUAAGAUUUACUUGGUUAUUUUUAGAAUAAUUUAAAUUAGGAUUUUAACUAAAACAAUAUUGUUUUGCUUAUAUAGUUGUUUUAGUCAUUUAAUUGUUGUUUUAUUAUUAUUUUUAGUUAGUUCUUUUUGUAGAUUUUAACAUGUUGUAGUAUGGUGCAUAUUGAAUGCACAAAAAUUCUAGAGCUGAAAUAGUUUUAAAAAAAUGCCUUUGUAACAGACGAGUUCUCGUCCGAAACCUUGAUACUUAGAAUGAGAUGAUCCAGUUUGUACACGAAGUGCAUCCAGUCUUUGCCAUAACUCUCUCAACUUUGUAGCACAAGCUAUGUGGGUGAAAUGAUGAUACCAUGCCAAGUUUCAACCUUUUCAGAUUUCAUUUAUCGAGCUUUUCAAUUUCAGGGUCAUUUAGCUCAAAAAAUCAUUAAAUGCAUGAAAAAUAGCAAAUGAAGUUAUAAAGGGUUGGAAUUUUAGGAUGUGGUUUUGAAUGGUGUAUAUUGAAUGCACAAAAAGUGUGGAGUUGAAAUAAGUAAAAAAACGAAAUGCCUUUGUAGCAGAUGGGUUUCGUCUGAAACCUUGAUACUUCGAAUGAGAUGGUCCAGUUUGUACACGAAAUGCAUCCAGUUUUUGCCAUAACCUCUCAACUUUUUAGCACAAGCUAUGUGGGUGAAAUGAUGAUACCAUGCCAACUUUCAACAUUUUCAGAGUUUAUUAUAGUGCAUUUCAAUUUCAGGAUCAUUUAGCUCAAAAAAAUGAUUAAAUGCAUGAAAAAUAGCAAAUGAAGUUAGAAAGGGUUACUCUCGCUUGGUUAACCUUAGUUGUGACUCUAGUGGGGACGGUGCUAGCAUAUAUUGUCGACGGUAUGAUUGGACUCUUCGCUAAAGGGGGAUUUUGAAAUUUUCAAACUCUACCCCUUGUACCGUCAUUUUUAGUUCUCUAGAAAAUAAACAAAAAUGAUAAAUCUUCAAAAAAUAAAAUUCUUUGAGAUGUAGUUAGGUUUUAGUGUCUAGUUGGUAUAGAAAUUUUGAGAUAUGAAUUUUGACCAUUUUUGCAAAAAAGGAAAAUAAAUUUAAACGAUCAUAACUUUUGCAUACGACGUAAAAAAAGUUUAAUAUCUAAAAAAAAAUUAGAGAAAAAUUGGGACUCGAUUUCACCCGGGCUUGCCCAGUGAAGUUUUCUCACAUGCUCAAAAUUCCAAAAGUAAAGAAAGUUAUUUCAGAAAGAAUUUUUUUCCAAAAAAAUCAGAAAAUAAUAAUUUUAUUUAAAAAUAAAUAAAUGAUGUCAUAUUUGGAUUCAUCACAUUUUUCUGAUAAUAAUGGAUAUAUUAUUUGUCAAAUUUAGAUUUACAUAUUUAAAGAUAUUAAUUAUGCCAUAUUAAAUGAAUAAAUGGCAAAAAACGAAUAAAAUAUUAGGAUGUUUUCAUUGAAAUUCACUAUUAUUACUACUUAUUUUGUUUAUUUUAACAAUUGGUUGGAAUUCAAAAAAUUAAAUCGUGUGACAUGACAUCAAGACCUAAGGUUGUUUAGGAUUGAUAGCUUACUAUUGUCACGAAAACAACAAGUGCAGACUUAACAACUAGGGAUGAUAGAACCAGAAAGUUAAGCGUGCUCGGGCUGAAGCAGUGAGAGGAUGUGUGACUGGUCGGGAAGUUAGAUGAUUUAGAAUAAGUGCUCUACGGUGGAGCAGUGAGGAUGGGUGAUUAGAGAUUAAAUUGGGGGCAUCUACAACCGGGGCUAAAGGGCCAUUUUCUACUCGACGCGUGCUGCUCAAAGUUAUCUGCUUCAGCGGGUGCUCAGCAAAACGCAAAAAAUUGACCCAAAAGCAAAACUAGUUCACAAAAUGAACUAUCCGCGAAAACCCAACUGGUCCUUUUUUGUGACGUCUUUGUCUUGAGCGUCACACUAGUGUCACACUACACUGUGUGACGCCCGACACUAUGUUGUGAGACGUCCGAGACCUAGUGUGACGCCUAAGGCAUAGGCGCCAUAUUACACUGUGUGGCGUCUAAGGCAAAGGCGCCACACAUUGUAGUGUGGCGCCUAACUAUCGGGCGCCAAACAAAAGGGUCAGCUGCGUCAUUUUUUUUCAAACGUGGUUCUGUUUGUGAAAUACUUUCGCUCCUCGAUCAAAUACUUCCACAUAAAAGGAUGAUCAUGAACCAAGUUCUGUUUUUAUUACAACUGGUGUUCUCUAUACUAUCAUAAUUGAUGAAUUGAUUGAAAGUUUUUCGUGCAAAAAAUUUAAGAAGCACAAGGAAUAGAUUUGAAGUUUUUCUUGCAAAAACAUUUAAGAAGAACACUGAGUAGAUUGUGAAGAGGAUAAGACGAGAAUAAACAUGAUCAAGAAGCACAAAACUAAUGGUCAUGUAGCUACCACUAAUUAUCAACAUGAUCAUCAUUAACCGGCUCAUUUUUUAGGGCUAAAAGUAGCUUUAAGACUAUAAUGUUCAUGGGUAUUACUCCUAUAAUGGAUGUAGGAGUAUCCGCCUCAUGAAGGGCCUUUAAGGGCGAGCGUAUCAUCCGCGCCAUCAGUUAUGUGGUGGCGUGCCGCGCUUCGGGGCUCUCUGCGCCGUCCGAUCGGUUCAAGCGCUCCUACUUGUUCGAUGAACGUUUAGGUCAUUGACUUGAGGGAAAGUUGUUACUUUUAUAAAUUUGUGCACUUGAGACUCAUCAACUUCCUAACAGAGAGGAAGCAAUGAACACCAAUGAUUAGAUGUCAAGAUAAAAUAAAUAUCUUAUGCACUCUAGAAUUUCUAUUUGCUCGUUACUAAUCAUACAUUACAAACAUAUAUAGGGGGUAUUUAUCCCUUCUAGUUUACCUCAUAUUUAAAGGAUUCCGGUUUAAGUAAGAAUCCAUUCCAUAAUCAUGCCUUGAAUACAGACAACUUUACUUAACUUUUAACUUUUCAAACAAUCUACAAUUUAAAUUUAGAGGCUACAAGUUAACUUUUGAAGGACAAGUGUUAGGAUUAUAUAAAAGAGCAUUUGUAAUAACUUCAGCAAUCUUACAUUAUUUUACUUAUGCAAAUUAAACUAAAUGGUAGAACAAAUUAUUUUAGUUGAGAUUAUACUAUAAUAGAAUAAACUAAAUAGGUACAAAAUUUUGGUACAAAUACUUACUUUAUCUUCACUCAUGUUAAACAAGACAACCUAUAGUCCAUAUAUCAUAAGUGAUCAUGUGAUCUGGUUGCCAAAUCUAUUUUAGUACAUGCUUGGUGCGUAAGUUCUCUGCUAGAUAGUCGUCGCAUACUCGCUUGAACGAGCGGUAUCGAUGUAUUGAGCUAAAAACAUGUUUGUUAUUUUAUUACCAUUUGUAUUAACGGGCCUCGAAUUUCAGUUCCGUCCCGGGCCCUUGAAAUCUCAGGACCAGCCCUAGUGAGCGUGGCAUAUAAACAUGAAUUUGGUGGUAGGCACGAUUGAUAAAAACAAUCUUCAGCAUCCCUACGGCAGGAACAAUACAGCUGAUGAGAUUUUUUCGGACGUCUCCAUGAUUUCGUUGCCAACAGUUUCGGGACAUAUCACCGUAAUGGGGUAUAGUAUUGUAUGAUGUUGGUUAAAAUAUUCAUCUAGCAUACACCCUAUGUCCAAAGUAAAGGUGGGAUAUUUUCUAUGCAGACAUGAAAUGUUAACUUGUGAGGACAGAACUACUCAGUAUCACUGUAUUUUUUCUUAGGGUUGCACAUAGAGCUGAUGUAGGCUAAAUUAUUAAUUUUUCACACUUACUUUCCAGUCAGUAUAGUAUUGCACUAGCGCCGAAGAAGCGCGGCGCACGCCGCACCCAUGACCGAUUCCGUCCGUGUUUUAUCGAAAUAAGCAAAACAACAACAACAUAUAUUACGCCAUGAAAUAAAAUGAAGAAGAUAACGUGAAAUCUAUCUUUAUUCCAUGAUCUAUGUAGGCACGUAAUCAACAUUAAGUGAUUUAAUAAAUUAAGCAAACCGGCUGGCCUAUUGAUUUAUUUUGGUAUGUUGUUCUGGUUUAUUCUAGUGCAUUGUUUUGCGGUACAAUUCAGUUACUGUUUCAAUUUAUGGUUCGACUUAGUUAAAGUUUUUAGUUUAUUCAGAUAUUAUUUCGUUUCACUGGUUUUUCUUUUCCAUGGUAUUCGUGGUUGUUGUUUUAGUUUAUUUAGUUUAUUGUUUUGGAUAGCAUUUCUAGGUUUAUUCAGAUAUUGUAUCAUUUUUUUGGGUAAUUGUUAGUGAACUAUUCACUAAUGUUGUGAUCUAAAAAUGGACAGUAAUCGAUAAAGAUUAAUUUUCCUAACAAAUUACUGUUCAUGCGAAUAUACUGUUUCGACCUACUGUUUUGUGCCUCGACAACAUCAUCACCGGAAAGGAUUGGGAGAUGAUUGAGAUGGUUCUGUGUCGGUAUGCCGAUGAAGAGAAAUAAUGCAUAAAAAAUUCCUAAAUCUUAACCCUUCUUUAUAUAAGGACGUGAUGGUGGAUGAUGAAGAAAGAACUGUUGUAUAAGAAAGCUUUUUGACGUGCAUAUUUUUUCUCCUUGGAAGGCUAAAAAAAUAAGGGGAAAUCGGAUUUUUCAGAAUGCACUGUUCAAAUAGGCAUUGUUCGUCGAUGACACACAUCCAUCCACUGUUUCCAUGUAUGUACUGUUUAAUAUUACUAUUCACAGCUACACACAUAAUUUGAACCGUAGAAGGUAAAGAAAAUUCUAAAACUACUACUAUUCAUAGCCGCCCAUGUAAUUGAACAGUAGAAUGCAGAAAAAAAUGCCCGCAUAAUUGAACAGUAGAAGGCAGAAAAAAAGUCAAAAAAACCAGAGAAAUGAAAGCUUGCCGGUUUAGUAUAUAGUAUAUAUAUAUACGGAAAUUGCUUUUGGCUCCCGAGCUCCAUGAAGCCCUUUAAAUUUAAAACUCAAAUUUCAUGAAAAUUCAUAUUUUUACAUUCCAAAAAAUUCUGAAAAAAAUACAGGGAUAAGUGAAGGCGUAACACACAUGUGUGUAAAUUUUCAGAAAAAAAACAUUGAAAUGAGGGUUGUGCAAAAAAGACAAAUCUGAGGCUUUUUUACACAUGACACUAUUCAUCAUUUCAGGUCAUGAAUUUGUUUUUUUAUGCAGAUCGUAUUUCAAGGUAUUUCAUCCUUAAAUUUUGCACACAUACGCAUAACAUCCUUCUUUACUUCCAUAUUUGUUUUCAGAUUUUUUUGAAACCGAAAAAUUUGAAUUUUGAAUUAUUCAAAAAUUUCGGCCUUCAUGGAGGCCGAGCUCCAAACGUCUAUAUAUGACUCAGUUAUUUAUAUAUGAGUUGCGGCAAGUAUUUGAAUAUUGAAAGAAAUGAUACCAUCAUGAAUCCACCAAGAGGUAUAAUGUAUAGACAAAUUGUGCUCCGUUAAUCUUAUUCUUCUCCCUAUAAUGCCUUGGCUACUAACUAAUUUAUCUUGUUAUCUCUCUCAGCCUAGGGCGAGUCGGAAAAAUCAAUGCAAAUUCAGUUGAAUUUAAGUACUUAGAAAAAUAACUAAGUAGAUCAAACUUAAAGUUUUAUGACCAAGGCUUAAGUUUCAGCUUCACUUGGCAUACCAAGCUAGGUUAAAUACCAACAUUGUUUAUUUCACUCCUCUUUUUCUUGUCUUGCAUCUUCUGGUACACGGCUUCUUCAUCGGUGGCUUGGAUGAAGAAGGGCAAGUCGACCAACUUGGCGACCAAGCUGCCACUAGCUGAGUACUGCAUGCAGUAGAUGAACGAGGUUAUCUUGGGAGGGGUGGAUUCCCUAUUCUGGUCCGCUCGAGAUGUUUCACUUUGGGGAGUUUAUUCCCUACUUCCAAGGUGACAUAGAGUGGGGACAAGACAAGCUACUGUUCUUUCGUGUGGAGUAAAGUGAAAAAGGUGGAUAAAAUAUUUUCGUUAUUAGCAUACUUCAAGUUAUUUGAGCUGAAUAAUCAUAACGCCCCGAAAUCACCCUUAUAAGCUCAUUUACUCUCUUGUGUCGCAAUUUCAUAGGAGCUAGGCAACUCAUCAUUAGCAUGUAGUAAGAAGAAAGUUGUUUUCAGUCCGAAAAUUGAAAUUACCUUUGACAAAAUUCAACUAACAACUUGAGGAUGUCGAUCUCGUGUUGGUCGACUCUGCGAGGGAAGGCCAAAGGAGAAAAUUCGGCUACAUAGGGAGGAGAGCGGUAAGCGGCACGCCCACGAUGCUCUAUGUGUGCUGGAAGGGGUGGUAAUAAUAGGGCAGAGCUUAGUGUGGCGACUAGACAUCGCGGUCACUCAUUGCUAGCGUUAACUUCUACAACCGUUAAACUGAAGCUCACCGGAUGCAUUUCUCUCCCAUGUGAAGUGUUGACAAUGAGCAUUAUGAGCUCUCUCGCCAUCGAGAAGUGCCGAAGAGAUGUGCAAGGUACAUGAGGUUAUCGAUUUGAAGUAGUCGUGGAUAAAUUGGUCACGACCGUUAAGAAAAUAUUCACACACCCCGUCGCGACCAUGGAUGCUAUAUCUUCUCGUUUCCAUUUACCUCCCAUUUAGAAAGCAUUAAGCAACCUCCUCCAAGUCAUCGGUUUUGAACAAACCAUCUAAGGUCGAAGAAUCCUCGAAAUAUCUUUCACAAUCGAUCUCAUAUAUAUACACAAGUUGUGCAAUCAACGUCAUCUACACUAAACACGAGUUGUGUAGAAUCAUGAAAUUUGAAUUUAAAUUACCUCUAGGGAAUGCUAAUGAAGAAAUUGAGCUCGAUGGUGGCCAAGCCUUCGAGAGAAGGUCGGAGGAGAACCGCCCACCCCCCACCGGGGGGGGGGGGGCUCACCUCNAAACUAACUUGCCCCAACACUACAAGAAGGUUGUCAAGCUUUUUGUCUUGCUAGUUGCAAGGUUAAAUUGCACGAGAUAAUGAUAGUUGAUAGAAAGGUAAAACUAACUUGCCCCAACACUACAAGAAGGUUGUCAAGCUUUUUGUCUUGCUAGUUGCAAGGUUAAAUUGCACGAGAUAAUGAGAGUUGAUAGAAAGGUAAAAUGGUACAACAAAAGCUGGUAAUUAUAACGAAGAUUUUAGUGAUGGAGAAUAGACCUAGUGGGCAUAGUUUCACUAGUGGCAUCUCUCAAACAUACAAGUGUGGUGUGAUGACAAACUACAGUUGGUCAACGACUAAAUUGUAAUAUUUAUAUUUAUGACUAUGAACUACACAUUGGCUUGUCUAAGGGAAUCUUGCCACACUUUUUGUGUCUAUGACAUGUGGGGUUUAGUACUCAUUGCUUGUCUAAGGAAAUCUUGCCAUACUUUUUGUGUCUAUGACAUGUGGGGUUUAGUACUCAUUAAAAAAUGUUUGCCUUGGGUGUGGCUAGAACCAAACACCCACCUAACUUGGUCAAACUUGUCUAAGGUAAGUUGUGGCAAAGUGUGGCAAGAUGUGGCUAGAAACCAAACAGCCCCAUAAUUUGAGCAACUCAAGUAAGGCAAGUGUGGCAAGUGUGGCAAAAAUAAUGUGGUAAGAUAUGGCAAAGAUAAUCACAAUCCAAACAACCCCUUAGAGAUAGCAAUAUUUUCUCAAAAGUUCUUCUAAUUUUUAUGGCAAAGAUCGAACAACAUGUUAGCAAAGUCUUGUUAGAAAGUUCUUCGUUUCUUAGAACGUUCUUUGUAGUUUCUAUAAAUUCCUUUGGAAUUUUUGAAAAAGUUAUUUAGAAAAUAUUCAUGUAUUGUUAGAUCGUUCUUCAGAAAAUAUCCCAAAUAUUUCUUCAUCCAAUUAGUAUGUUUCAUGUAUAAAACUAAGGCCAUAAUAAUUACAGUAGGCAGAGAAUUCAGAGGUAGCCAUCGGAAAGGUCCUUGUUCUAGCAAAUUUCAGCUAUGAAUUACAAAAGUACAUCAAGAUCUUCCCCGUUUUCCUGUUUAUGGAGAGAGGCAAAACAAGAGCAGCCAUUUGCCGAAAACUGCAGGAGAAGAAACAAAAUAACACCAAUCCAUCUUUCAAAAUGUUUUUUUUGAACGAAAGGGGUUUCCCCCCUACCCCAUUUUUAUAAAUGGAGCAGAAAGCCCACGAAACGGCUACAUAGCAGUAUUAACGAAGCAACCGAAAAGUAAAAUCUUCCGAAAUGUGUUGGAUGAAAAAUCCAUCACAUAAAAGCCACUAUCACACAUGAAACUAGAUGCAACUCUUGGCCAAGAAAAAACAAGGAGACAAAUUGUUGCUACCUUUGAGGAAGACGGGGAAGAUGAGGAGCAGCUCUUGACCACCGGCGUGCUUGCGGGAGGUGUGUAUCUGGGCUUUGCCGCCAAGCCGCUUGACUCCUAACUGCCUUAAUGCAUAGAUCUAGCAACCACCGAGCUGCUCACAGUGGUGGUGAUGCUGCUGCUCGUUGUUUGUGGAUGCCCAGCAUCCUCUCACAACGAGGCUCGAUGGCCAGGAGGCAUCUACCCUGCUCCAUCUUACCUUGAUGACGGAUCUGGCAACAAAGGCAACAGGGCUUGGGCGGAGAACUGUCGGUGAAGAAGCACGUCACGGGGAGAGGGCUCGAGUCCAUCGAGGAGGAACGACCCAACGGUGCAUGGCCACAGUGGGGAACGAGAAAGAGAAGAGCAGGGGCCGGUGGGGGAACGAGAGAACGGAACCGGAUCAUCAAGAAGAGAAGUUAAGUAAGCUACAAUGCCCAUUAGUGUAAAACAGAAAAGGGAAGUUACGGUUAUUACAGGGAAUGUUGUAUGGAUCUAUUGUAAUAGGUACUUUAAAAAGUUAGUGUUCAUAAAAAUAAAUCUGAAAUUAAUUUUAUCGCAUUAAAGUUUUGAUCUGGUUCUCAAGAGAACGGGGAAGAACGCGCGGAUGUGAGUGUAUUCGUGCCGCCACGUAUGGCACUGAGAAAAAAGAAUAUAGGUUGUUGGGUCGGACCAGGUGGGACACACUCGCACGGAUCCGCAUGUAACAGCAACAGCAUCUAUUCGAAUUGCGCGCCAACUGGUUCUGAUUCGCUAAAAUCGUCAUACGAGCUGUUGCGAGACGAUUGGCCAGAUACGACAACUCUGUUAAAGUUGUUUUUUUUAAUACAGUACAAACGCAAGCGCUCGUAGAUAUGUACAUACAUUCAUUCGUAUAAACGAACACACGCAUAUCCUAUCCCUAUGAACAUCUCUGAAAGAUCGAGUCCGUAUAUCGUCUUGAAAUCUAUGAAGCCAUCAUAAGCACCUCGUCGUCGACAGAAACGUCCAUAUCAGUAAAUACGCAUCACGAGAUAUCCUAAAUAAAUACAGAAAUAAAUGCAAGUACAAGGAUUUAAAUCCUUAUGGAUUAAAAUAUCUCAGUUCCUGUAACCAUCUAACCACACAGUUUCUUUUUUUUUUUUAGAAAUCUACCGUCGGUUCGCUGUGCUAAAGUCGCUCAAACAUCAAAGGAGAUGCAAAACCGUGACGUUGGCCGACAGCACCAGUGGGACAGAUUAGCGCGCUCCAGCGGCGGCGGGAACCGUUUGCGCGCGCGCGAAAAGGCGGCACCUUGCGCGCCAUUUUUGCGGCGCCGCGUCCCGCGUGCCUAUAAAAGGCAGCACGCUGCCGCUCCCUCGCGCCAUCGAGACGCGCUCUUUCUUCCUCUGCCUCUCGCGACGCCGCCGCCGCCCGCCGCCCCAGAGUGCCGCCACCGCUCCAGCGGGCCGCCCCCGACGCGCCACCAUGCCGCCGCGCCGCCGUUCUGCGUCGGGCUACCGCGGCGUCCGCCAGCGCCCCAACGGCGGGUUCUACGCCGAGACACGCUCCGGCGAUCUCCGGCUUAGCCUCGGAACCUACGACACGGCGCACGAGGCCGCCCGGGCGUUCGACGCGGCGGCGUGGCGCCUAGGCAGGCCGCGCCUCCAAAUGAACUUUCCGGACGUCCACACGCUCCAGCAGGCGUUAGACCUCGCCCCGCCGCCUCGUCUAAACUCCGCACAAGACCGUGCGGAGCACACUGUGCUGCAGCGCCGCCUCCUCGUCGCCCAGGAGGACGAGCGGGUCAUGGCGGAGUGGCGCUGGCGCCACCCGGAGGACGUCGCCUACGAGCAGGAAUAUUGGGCAGGGCGCCGCGAGGAGGACACGCGCCGACGCCGCGAGGAGCGGUUGGACAGGCGUCGUCGGAAGGCAUUGGCGUGUGCGCAGGCCGACCUCAUCAAUGCAGGCGGGAGGUCCUUCUUCACUGAAAAAGAUGAGCAUUGGUUUGACAUCUGGCUGUCAACCUCUGACGACACCAACGACGAUGAUGAUGGUGCAGAUGACUGGAGCGACCAGGAUUAGUUUUUUUGUUUUCGAACUAUCUAGCACCGAACUAUCUAUUUAUGUUUUCGAACUAUUUAUCUAGUUGCAAUCUAUGUAAAAUAACUUUGUAUCCUUUUUAUUUAAUGCAAUCUAUUUUUAAAAAAUGUUGUACGCGUGCUGCAUUUUUAGGCACUGCUGCAGCGACGCACGCACGCUGCAUUAUAUCGCGGCUGUUGGAGCCAGCGCCUAUUCCUGCGCUAAACCAGCCGGCGCGCGCUGUAAAUACAUUUUUUUGACGCGGCGCGAAACGCGGAUGUUGAAGAUGCUCAGUAUCCAAAACAAGUCCUUGGCAUCGCAUUGCCUCGGAGUUGAGACUCCCCGCGCGCGACACCAUGCCGGCAAAAGCUGCACAAUAUUUUGGGCACAUCGACAGUUCCGUCAUUUCUUCCGGUGAAAGUAUUUACACACGGCCAUGCACUUUCGUAGUAACGAUUAAAAGAAAAAAGAAGAUGAAUCGCAGCAACAACUUCCGGCGGCAAAACAACAACGCCAUUCCAAGACACACAAAGACACCACAAAUCCUUCUCUUCUCCGCCAUGCUAUUCCCCCCUACGAAUCAAAGAACCAGCAAAAAAGAAGAGCGAGAGCGGCGGCCGCGACCGAUCGGCGCGGUGAGCUCAGGACAGCGACGCCAGCGACGAAGACAUGCUGCCGCCGGCCUUGGCCACGCCGACGUAGUUGAACGACGACGCCGACAGCCGCCUUGCGCCGUGCAGGAGCUCGCCGCAGCGCCCGGCCCCGGCCGCCGACGACCGCGGCCUGUCGAGCUCGCCCGAGGAACGUCCACCGCCGCCGCCGCCGCAGCUGGACCCGCUGCUGCCGCUGCGCAUCGACGGGGCGGAGCACGUGAGCCUGCCGGCGUCGACCCUCUUCCGGUUCAUGCUGCUCGGCUCCGGCGUCCUGCUGAACCCGCCGCUGCCGCUGGGCCUCUUGAGGCGCGGCAUCGCCUCCUUCUCGCUGAACAGGGUGCGCAGCUUCUUCUGCUCCUGCAACACGCCAUCAGUUUUACUUCAGGUGAGCUCAGACUCCAUUAGAACUCCAGCAAAAAGCGCCAUCCAAAAAUGCGGUGAGAGCGAGGAUGGUUUAUCAUUUAUUUACCCGGAGUCUCCGCCGCUCCUCCUCCUGCCUCAGCCUGGCUUGCUUGUGCUCCUCCAGCACGGCCACCAGGCGAGCCUUGACAAGGUAAUAAGAAACGCAAGAAUUCCAUCAGCCGCCAUGGAAAUUGUUACCGCGUGCGUAAUAUGCUGGUGCAGCAUUGGAGCUGAAGGUGGCCUCUUACCCCGUCGUACAGAAAUGGCUUCUUCCUUUCGCUCUCCCACGCCAGCGUUCGACUCAUCAGGUUAUCAACAAUAGCUGCAGGUUGAAGAACAGUCGGUUAUUUCUUGCCCCAACAUUCUUCUGAAUUCAUAGAUGCUUCAGUAAUGUUUCAUAAAACCCAAAUGUGCAUGUGCGUGCCUGGAAUCUUCAUGAUGAUGACCCUGGCCUUCUCGGCGCGUUUCAGGUUCAGGCGCGCGGUCCUGCCGGUGCUGAAUCUGUUCUCAUCCUGAUUGAAACCAGCAGAUGAGAUCAGCACCCAAAGAUCACUGUCCAAUGCACCGAAAUACGCAUUUAAAUUGUAUGUAAGAUUUGUACAUACCACGUUGUGGUCGUCGAGCCAUUUCUCUUCCUCGCAGGCCAGCAGCCACUUGUUGAUCUUCUCCAUGAUGUCCUUCCUCGACUGAUGCUCUUCCUUGGCCUUGGCUAUCUGGUCGUCGAUGCUGGCCAUGAGCUCAGAAGGGUUCACGAGGCCUGAUACAUUGAGAUGCAGUCACCAUUAGCAUUGCACAUUUGAAAUGCAUUUCAGUAAGUACAGAGAAGCUCGGCGUAUCUGAAUUCUUUUCCCAGUACUAAAACUGAACAAGAAGCUUGUGUCUAAAGUCUGAACUCGGACGCACGUACCGGAGUCGAUGAGCGCGAUGGACUUCUCCGGCACGGUGCUGGCGUCGGGCUCGACGUGCAUGCUCCGGCAGAUGUUCUCCAGCUCCAGCCUCCGCUUGAGAACGAGUUCCUUCAUCCGGCCGGCCUUGAGCCGCGUCAGCCUCUCCACCUCCUCCUCCGUCUUCUUGAUGCUGGCCAUGGACAGCACGCCGGAGGACAGGACCUCCUCCUUCGCGGGCCUCAGGACGGCCGCCGCCUUCUGGAAUCCCCGCCGCUCCUCCACCGGCGAGUCCAUCAGGUCCCACAGCUCCACCAGCGGCACCACGGCUUCCCGCAGCUGCGGAGCAACCAUUAACGUCACGUUGGAGCUCGGAAACAGAGGUCAGAGGGGAAAGCAUUAAUGGUGGUGGUGUACUGGUAAGAAAUGUACCAUGGCUGCUCGCUUGGCCUUCUCGGCGGUGAGCAUGGCGACGACCUGGGAGAGCCUGGUGAGCGUGGUGUCGCUGAUGCUGGUGGGCUUGCCGGGGUCGGCCUCGUGCAGCCCCGGGUGGACCUCGUUCACGAUGGCGAUGAAGUCCUCGCCCAGCACGUCGCACAGCGAGUGCACCUCCGUCACGUGCUCCAGGACCUUGUGCAGCCGAUCCGACUGCAACAAAUUUUGCACUAGCCGUCAGCUUGUCGCCAUCAUAUCCAGAUGUUGCCCAUGAUCGUGAUCACAUAUCGAAAUUUUAUACUGUACUUGACAAAUCACAAUCCUUGGCAUGUUGUAAUCUUCUGAAGAUCAUAAAAUCUCUGUAAUGAUUGCUAGGAAAUAUUGACGUGAAUGGACCGGAUAUCUUGAUGAACUGAUGUCCUACUAACUAGCUGUUGAUUGGUCCGUCUUAAACAAAGCUAAAAUCGAUUGGAUAUCUUGAUGAAUGGCUUAUUUUAAGCCAUCCCUGUCGGAUGUAUCCAUCGACUGCUAAAUGAAAAGCUGUAAAAUUCUGAAGUUUCAGAACAAAUUUCCUACCUUCUCUUUCUGAAGGGUGGACAGGCGUGCCUUGUACUCGUUGAGCCUCCUGAUGGUCAGGUCAUGGCCGUCGCCGGCCCUCGGGGAUGUGUCCUGGCCGUGGCUCCGCCCUGCGAUUUCGGCGCUGAUCUUCUCGAUCUCCGACCGGAUGUCGGUGAACUGCUUGCUCCGUUCUGCUCUCAUCGACCGCAGCUCUUCCAGCAGACCCGUCGCCGAUGACACCCGCUCGUUCAGCGACACGGUCCAUUUGUUUACCUAAAUAAAGAUGAAAACAAAGGGAACAUCGAGUAAGUUUCAGUAAACAGGUCAUGAUUUCAGUAAGCAACUUGAACAGAGGCCUCAACUAAUGGCACUGAUCGGUCAGCGAACUGCACUUCUUUUGAUGUCAUUACGGACUACACUUUCAAAAGUAGUUUCACAAAGCUAAACUUGCUUCAGAACACAGCAUUUGUUUCUAUGUGUAAUUAGUAAUCAGAAAAGUGCGCUGCUAGUCUCAACUUAGGAGUAUGUGCUGCGAAAAUAUAAAGAUGAACAUAGUUCCAUGCGCACCCGUAUAAAUAGUAAAUUCGAAAAUAAAUACUAGAAAAAUUCAAAAUUUUGUUUUUGGGUAGUAUCCAACUUGAUCGACCAUUCUACUCGACUGCGGAGUUUCGUGAAGAAAUGACACCCGUGGUAUUCUUAAUGGAAUAAAUACAAUCGGCACCAUACUAUUCAUCAAACCAUGGUUUUUCUAGUUUAUCAUUUUUGCUCAGAAUACCACGGAUGUCAUUUAUUUAUGAAACUUCAUACGCUAGUAUGCCAGAUUACGUAUGUUACCAAAAAAUUCAGAUUGUUUUGAUUUUUUCUAGUAUUUUCUUCGAAUUUACUGUUUAUAAGAGGUACGCGUGGAAUCAUGUUGACCAAAUCUGUGUCUGUAUGCUCUUGUAAUUCAUCUUUGUCUUAACUCGUUAAAAAGGUCCAUUGUUGUGGCAAGUUGACCACUCCACGGUGCUAUCCAAGUUAGUUAGGACUUAGGACCCACGCGACAGGUACCUCCAUUUCUCUCUUCAUCCUAGCAUCAGUUAUAUAUUUUUAAAUAACAGUAGUACUAAAAGAGCUUUAUUCCAUGAAACUAUUCGUUCUAUUUCCCUUUAUGGAUUGCUUGAAAAGGCUGUAUAUUUAAGAAAUAUUUACUCCAUCAAUAUUAGAUCGAUUGACACAAGUUGCUUUUGGAGGGAAUCCCCAGUCUUUGCAUCAAUAUCAAUUUUACAGCUAAAGGUUUUAAACUUUUAUUAAGUUCUGGAAUUCGCGUGCUCCAAUGGACUUCCUUCAGCUUGACUCUAAAAUGGAGUGCGAAACCAUAUAUUUUGACUGAUCAUGUAAAAUAUCAUAAUAUUGAGAAUAUAACAUUUUACAGUCGUAAUUAAAUUUUUUUGACUACAAGAUGGGUGCAGGGAAGGGAGUACCGGCGGGAUUGCCGGCUGCCUGCCGAAGGCCCCAAGUAAGUAGGUUACCUUGAAGUGCGUGGAGUUUUCGGCGCCGAGGGCGGCGGUGAGGGCGGCGAUCUCGGCCUCGCUGGCGGCGAGCGACUGGUGCAGCAGCGCGCGCUCGCCGGUGGCCUCGUCGACCUUGCGGCGGUACACCCGCGUGCACUCCGCCUCCAGCUCCUGCACCAUCCGCUCCCUCUCCUCCCGGCUCUUGCCGAUCUCCCCCCACAGUUGCUGCACACACACACAUGACACAUGUCAAACCACACAGCACAGGCACAGCACAUGAACACAGAACAAAGUCCAGCCGGGAGAAGAUCAACGGACGGACGCACCCUGAGCUCCGCCAGCAGGGGCGCGCAGCUGCCGACCUCGGCGCCGCCGCCGGAGAGGGCCAGCGGCGCCAUGCUGUACAGCAGCUCGGCGGCGACCUCUCCCAUGGCCGUCGUUGCGCUCGUGCUGGCCGUUGGAGAGGAAGAGACGACGAUGCAGAUGCACCAGCUAGCUAGCUCGAUGGAGAGUUGGGUGAGGGUUUUAGCGUCUCCAGCUAGCGGGAGAGAGACGUCGUUGGUUGAUGGAUGGAUGGGUGGAUGCGUCGGGUGGAGAGAGAGCAUAUAUAGCUGAAAGUGCCAGGCCCUCUGGUACACGACAAGCGUGUAACCACUGACCAGCCAGCAGCCGCGUUGAUGUUGUUGAUGAUGAUGAUGAUCGACUGGCUCCGUGUAGGGCAGAGCAGAAAGGGAGGGAAAUUGGAAGAGGAGGGGAAGCCUCUGGCUCUAAUAAAGCCAGGGUUUUGGUGCCGGCGUGAAUAAUAUGCCUGAUUUGUGUGGGUUUUUUAUGCCCACUUCUGGCUGGGGGCUGCAGUUGGCCUGGAACCAUCGUCGAUCCAUCAUGCAUGCAUGCAUGCUGGUCAUGAACCCUGAUUCUAAGAUAUUUAUUGAUUGACACUUGCAGACUUGCUUGCGCGCGUCACAAACAAAGCAACUAAGAAAGUCCGAUGUGUUCGCACCAUCCGUUGCAUUCUCACGUAGAAGAAAGAAUAAGUGCUUUGAUUGGCAGGCCAAGUCAAAUAUCAGAUCGAUGUGCAUAUAUAUAAAAAUAUAUACACACUCUGCCCAUUGACAUGACAUGCACGAGAAGUAAUUGUUGUGAACUCUCUGCCGGCUAGCUGUCCCUACCGUGAUUUUGCACAACAUUAUAUGUUUAUCUCGCUAGUUUAGUGCAACGUGGGUAUCAAUCCUCGUUAGGUACUAUGUUUCAUAUUUACGUCAUGACUAGCAGAAGUCCAAUAGAAAGAAGAAAAUCCGGACCGUGCAAUGGAAAGAUGUUUGGCCGUACUUUUCAUGCAUAGGAAAAGGAAGAAAUUGCCAUCUGACUAAGAUUAAGAAGGGCUAUCCGAAACAUAGAUAAUUUGCAUCAUCUGUUGCACCCCCACAUGGAUAUAAGAAUAAGCUUGUUUUGCAGGCCAAGUAAAAAGUCAGAUCCAUGUGAGCUGAGUGAUUAGGUUCUUUUCGCAUUGUCAAUCGCAUUUUUUCGAAUUUAUUUCAGACAAUGCUGCCUCAGUCUUCUGAAGAUGCUCAUAAGAAUAUGAUGUAUAUGUAUAUUUACAGGGAUAAAUUUAUAUACGUAUAUAUGAGUAUAUGCAUCUGUAUUACUCUGUUGCUGACAUGACAUAUGCAUGAGUAGUUGAUCGAUGACUAAACCAGUAACAACAAAAUUGACAAGUACUCAGCCGGCCGGCCCUGACGAGGAUUUGCACUAUAUGUGUCGUCACUUUAGUGCAACAUGUGUAUUAAUGCAUGUUAUACCAUUUCUAACUGAUCCCCUAAAAGAUCAUAAGUAAGUAAAAAUUUGGUUUUACUUUCUUACCGUGUAAGGGGGUAAAAUUUAUACUCCGACCCCAAUUUUUUUUCCUAAAUUUACUUCAUUGAAAUGGGCCGGGGUAAAAUUUAUGCUAUCUCUCUCUUGCCUCCCUCUGCUGUUGUCGAUCCCCUGCCGCUCGCCGCAGCCGCCCCCGACCCCCCGCGCGUCGCUGCUGCCACUGCUCCCUGCGCGUCGCCGCCGUCGAUCCAAUGAUGCCCCGCCGCUGAUGCUAACCCGUUGUUGCCUCCCCGUUGCUGUCGCUCGCCGCCGUUGCUGCUGCCCCGCUGCUUGUUCGCCGAUGUUGCUGCCCUGUUGCCGUUGACGCUGCCCUGCUACUGUUUCCGACGUGGUCACCGUUGUCACGGACACGCAUAGCAACUGUUCGUCAAAAUGCAUAAACCAAAAAGUAAGGUACGGUCAAAUUUUAGUGAAGUAAAUAUACUUCACUAAGCUUUUACUCUGUGGGAUAUUUCGUUAUUUUUAAGGGAUCGGCUAGAGAUAGCCUUAGGUACUACUAUGUUUCAUAUGCACGUCAGGACUUGCAGGAUUUUCAUAGGAACACGUUACAGUCCAACGGAAAGAUGUUUACCCGUACUUUUCAUGCAUGGGAAAAGAAAGAAAGAAAUAGCCAUCUCACUAAGAUUAAGAAGAGCUACCCGAAAGGUGUGUGUGGUGUCUAUCCUGUUAACUAUUGAUGCACCCAUGCAUGAUGUCGAUCGACAUCGACAGCGAGCAAACCCCUCGAUUAUUGUUCGACUAAGCCCUCUUUAGCUUUCCAAAGAGGGUUUUCCGGGCUUUUUUCGCGGUAGGUUAGCAAGUGCAUAAAUAAAGCAGGUCAACUACUACCCGGAAAUAGACCACACACCAGAUGCCAUGAUUGGGAUUGUUCCUUGCCAGGCUUCUUUAUCUUUGGGCUAGCUUGUCUCACGGUGGUUGCAUGCAUGCAUUGGCAGCGGCAGCGGCAAAGCUGAUGAAUGAUAUGCUUGGGUUGUUGGUGCAUGACUAAUCCCCGAAUCCUAUCCCAAACCGGCGGCAAACCCCCGGCCAUGCUUUUGCACCUAUGCCAAUGUGUUUGCCAGCCCAAUAUUUGGCGUGAGAAAACUAGGUGUUUCGUGCGCUUGCAUGGGGCCUAUGCCUGAUGCAAACAUUCCAACAGUCCCAAUCAUCAACGGUCGAUGCCUUCUGGAUUGAUUGGGCUGAAGAAAGCGUGGAUAAAGGGCCAGCAGACUGAUUUGACGGGAAAAGAAUCGCAUGCUCGCUUCGGUGGUUCAUAUAUGCUUCAGGCGGGUGUUGGGUGUCGGGUUCACGGAAGUGUAUGGUGCGUAGCGUACCUCUCAUGGAAUUUUGUUCAUACGAUCAGUCUAGCGAAGAUGUUUUCAAGAAACAGGCUUGAGACUCCAUUUUCCUUGUCACACCCGUAGGCGACAGGGAGGGCUCCCCCGUCGCACCCGCCGGUCCCCCUCUCCCCCGCACUCCUCCCUCGUCGCCGCUAGAAGGCGUGGCCGGGCAACGCCUGGCUCGCAUCGGCGGCGGCGGGGCCCUUUUCCUCCUCGCUCAGGGUGCUGCGGCGGGGCGGCGCGUCGGCGUGGGGCGCGGCGAGGACGAUGGCGCUUAGUGCCCCUGGGACGGCAGGGCGCGGGUGGGCCGCGACCUGGAGUACCUUGCGAUGGAGGGGCGUGCCUGCACCCCUGCUGAUCUGGAUCGGGAUCUAGCCCAAUCUGAAUCCAGGGGGUUGCCGACGACGCGGCUGACAGUCACGACAGUGCCCCUGCUGCGCGGCGGCUGGAGUCUCCAUGGUCGGUGAUGUCGCGACUGUGUGCAAAUGGAUGUCUUCGAUGGUCGUGGAUCACGCGUCCUGUCCAGAUCCAUCUCGGUUUGGCCUUGGCCGACCGAUGGAGUGAGGGGGACCGGUGAGGGGCGAUUGGAGGCUCCCUGCCGGCAUGCCGACGUCGGCCCUCGACUCCGCGGUGAGGCUUCGUUCGGUUCCACCCAGCUGCGAGUUCGGGGUGACACGACUUCCAGUGAAAAUCACGCUGACUUUGGUCAUGGCGAAUGAUGGCAACGUCCAGGAGGUCAUUUCCUUCUCAAGGCAUCGUUGUUGCGGGUCGUGGCACCCCACUCGGAUGAUGGUCCGAGGGAAACCCUAGAUCUAGAUUUACCGGAUCGACGAUGAUGGCACCUUCGAUGCCGUUGUCCCUCCUCGGGCAUCGUUUCAGAGAAAAUGAUGGUUGGACGGGACAAGCGAAGGAGUAGUGUUGCAUUCACCGCAAGGUCGAUGACGGAUCCUGCUGGCAUGGCGCUGCGGAGGUUCAGCGACAGGCGUGUGUGGAAGGAUACGUGCAGGAUGGUGGAGUUGUCUGGCGUCAUGAUGGCGUCGGCGACAGGACAAGCAAGGUCUAUGCGUUAGUUCUUACUCUGGAGAUGGACCGGCGGAAGAUGGCGGUGGCAUCCUAUGAGAGUGCGCUCGACUGGGUGAACCCAGUCCCGGUAUGUGGCUGGAUUGGGGCACCCAGCUAUAGAUGUUAGGUUUUGGUGCGAUAUCUGUUUGGUAUUUGGCCUGAAUAUUCGGCACACCUUCAUCAAGGGGAUAGGAGUAGCAACAAGUGUUGCCUAGAUUGUGGCUUAGGGCUGACUGAUGUAUUACUUUGUAUGGUCUUUGUGAAUAAUUAAUAAAAUGGUUGCAUGCAUCGUACAAAUGCAGAGGCCGGGGGUUUAUCCUUCUUUUCUAAAAAAACUCCAUUUUGUACAUGAAGUAGUAGACAGUCCAUACAUGGGGCACCAUAAUAAGCGAGACAAAACAUAUUCAGUGGUUCAUCGGCGACGGUUCAUCGGCGAUUGCCGGGUAGGAGAUAGACUGGUGCCAAAGCAUGAGGUCUUCAUCAAGGAAGCCCAAAACCGAAGCUCGGUAAAAGAGAAAUGAGAUCAACCAGAUGGGAUGCCCGAUUACCAUUACCGCACUCGGCAUAGGUAAAUAUUUCAAUUUGGUUUGUAACAAUGUUAAAUUGCCAGAUUUUGUCUUUCACAACGCCGCCACAUAUCACUGGUUGACGCUUGAGUUCUUGAGUACCUUGAUUCAAAUCGUUGGAAAAUACCCAAGGGAGGAUGAGGAUGGAAUGCUUCUACAACAUUAAACAUUGUGUAUCCAAACUUGUGCUCGCAAAAGUUGUGUAUCCAAACUCCAAUCUAAACAUUGGCGCAAUGCUUCUACAACAUCUCAACCACCGGUCAAAUCAAACUCGCGGUGACAUCAUCUGUGGAAGAGUCAUUGUCGUCUUAGUCAAUGAACUUGGCCUCGACUUGAGAGUGCUUCACCCUCUAGCUGGUAACAAAUCUCUUUUUCUUUUAGUACUUAGAAGUGUCGGUAUGAUCGUUGCUAGAAACGGUAGAAUUUUUAUCUGUAUUCAUGGAGUUGGACAUUUAUUGCCAACUCCCAUGCCUAAGUAGUUCUCUAUAGAGGAUGGAAUUUUGCAUUAUAAUGCACAUGGGGAGGACGAAGAGGAAGACACCAAAGCAGCCAUGCUGGAUGAUGUGGGGGGAGAAGAAAUUGUCGCGUCCGAACUAAAGUAGGUCAAGCCCUAGGUGUGGCUAUCUUCACGAAGUGGAGGUGGAUUUGUGGAACAACAUGAAGAACAAGACACAUAUCCAAAGGAAAACACAAGCGGAAAUUAGUAUUGUACAAGAUCCACACCAAGUACUACUCAAAUCUCAAGCCAAUACAAGAGGUGCAUCAAGAUCCAAGAAUAGAAAAGGAAAGCAAAGUAAUCUAAGGUAGUUCUUCCCCAAUCUCUAAGGGAUAUGGACGUCUUGAGAGACUGUUCUUCCCCAAUCUAUAGGAUAUGGAUGUCUUGGUACAUCCACAAGGGAUUCUUCUCCUAUAUGAGGCCUUGAUCCUCUAAGAGGAUAUAACAAUGAGCAAAGAUCUCUCGGGAGGAUGCUUUAGUAACCCUAGAAAGUGCAACAGGUGUGGUUUAUAUAGUGAGGUACAAUUUAUAUAGUCUAGGGAUGAAGGGGUAGGUGGGGAGGAGAGAUACAUGACUUUUCAGAAAGGCCAAUUCAUAGCAUAAGUAGUUUCUUGCAAUUUUAUCGUAUUGGAAACAUAGAGAGGUGAAGAUUUGGUUCCCCUCUCAUAAUAAUUGCAAGUAGGAGUGGCAAGCACAUGCAUAUUAUAUUCAUCAAAAUCAGCAUGCGCAAUGGUAAAACACAACCCAUCAAUAUAAUCCUAAAUAAGUGAAAAAUUCUCCGAUACGGUGUAUAUGGGAGUAUUCAAAAAGAUAAUAGGACGAUCAUGUGUGGGUGCAAUAGCAACAAUUUCAUUCUUGACAUACGGAACUGUAUCAAGUUAAUCUUCAUAAGCAUAAUUCAUAUUGGCAUCAUGACCACAAGCAUAGCAAGCAUCAAGUUCAUCAAAAAUUGAUAUUUCAAAUGAAUCCAAGGGAUCAUUGUUGGAAAUAUGCCCUAGAGGAAAUAAUAAAAUACUUAUUAUUAUAUUUCCUAUUUCAAGAUAGUCAUUUAUUAUCCAUGAUAGAAUUGUAUUGAAUGGAAACACAAAUACAUGUGUGGAUACAUAGACAAAACAUUGACUAGCUCGUUGAUCGAAGAUGGUUAAGGUUUCCUAGCCAUGGACAAGUGUUGUCACUUGAUAAUGGGAUCACAUCAUUAGGAGAAUGAUGUGAUGGACAAGACCCAAACUAUAAACGUAGCAUGUGAUCGUGUUAUUUCGUUGCUACUUUUUUCUGCAUGUCAAGUAUACAUUCCUAUGACCAUGAGAUCAUGUAACUCAUUGACACCGGAGGAAUGACUUGUAUGUAUCAAACGUCGCAACGUAACUGGGUGACUAUAAAGGUUCUCUACAGGUAUCUCCGAAGGUGUCCGUUGAGUUAGCAUGGAUCAAAACUGGGAUUUGUCAUUCCAUAUGACGGAUAGGUAUCUCGGGGCCCACUCGGUAAUACAACAUCACAAACAAGCCUUGCAAGCAAUGUGACUAAAGAGUUAGCCAUGGGAUCUUGCAUUACGGAACGAGUAAAGAGACUUUCCAGUGACGAGAUUGAAAUAGGUACGGAGAUACCGACGAUCGAAUCUCGGGCAAGUAACAUACCGAAGGACAAAGGGAAUGUUAUACGGGAUUAACUGAAUCCUUGACAUAGAGGUUCAACCGAUAAGAUCUUCGUAGAAUAUAUAGGAUCCAAUAUGGGCAUCCAGGUCUACAUAGUUGUCGAACCCGUAGGGUCUGCACACUUAAGGUUCAGUGAUGUUUUGGUAUAGUUGAAUUAUUGAUGUCGGUAACCGAAGGUUGUUCGGUGUCCCGGAUGAGAUCCUGGACGUAUCCAUUCGGCUUCCGGAAGGUUUUCGGGGUGGGUUUUGGAGUUCUACCGGGAGGGGCCACCCACUCGGGAAGGAAUCAAAGAAGUCCAAGGGUGGCGCACCAUCCUCUAGUGGUCUGGUGGCCAGUGAUACGUCUCCAACGUAUCUAUAAUUUUUGAUGGUUUCAUGCUAUUAUCUUGUCAAACUUUCGAUGCUUUGUAUGCCUUUUAUAUCUUUUUUGGGACUAACUUAUUAACUCAGUGCCAAGUAUCAGUUCCUGUUUUUUCCGUGUUUUUGACCCUUUUCAGGGGAGGAUUUUAAAUGGAGUCCAAACGGAAUAAAACUGCCAAAAAGAUUUUUUUUUCCGGAACAGAAGAUACGCAGAAAGCUUGGGAACCAAGGCAGGGAGUCUCGGGGGAGGCCACAAGCCCUCAUGGCGCGGCCAGGGGGGCCGCGCCUCCCAGGCUUGUGGGCUCCCUGGGCCUCCCCUGCCCUAGCUCCUUCGCCUAUAAAUUACCUAAAAUCCCUAAAAAAUCAGGGGAGCCACGAAAAUACUUUUCCGCUGGGAUUCGGAUACGGAGGGCUUCUUCAUCAACACCAUGACCUCUCCGAUGAUGCGUGAGUAGUUCACCAUAGACCUAUGGGUGCAUAGCUAGUAGCUAGAUGGCUUCUUCUCUCUCUUGGAUCUUCAAUACAAAGUUCUCCAUGAUCUUCAUGGAGAUCUAUCCGAUGUAAUCUUCUUUUGCGGUGUGUUUGUCGAGAUCCGAUGAAUUGUGGAUUUAUGAUCAGAUUAUCUAUGAAUCUUAUUUGAGUUUCUUCUGAUCUCCCUUAUGCAUGAUUUCAUAUCCUUUUAAUUCUCUUCGAGUUGUGGGUUUUGUUUGUCCAACUUGAUCUACGAUUCUUGCAAUGGGAGAAGUGCUUGGUUUUGGGUUCAUACCAUGCGGUGACCUCACCCAGUGAUAGAAGGGGUAGCGAGGCACGCAUCGUGUUGUUGCCAUCAAGGGUAAAAAUAUGGGGUUUUAAUCAUUGGUUUGAGUUUAUGCAUCUACAUCAUGUCAUCUUGCUUAAAGCGUUACUCUGUUCGUCAUGAACUCAAUACACUAGAUGCAUGCCGGAUAGCGGUCGAUGUGUGGAGUAAUAGUAGUAGAUGCAGAAAAUAUCGGUCUACUUGUCUCGAACGUGAUGCCUAUAUGUAUGAUCAUUGCCUUAGAUAUCGUCAUGACUUUGCGUGGUUCUAUCAAUUGCUCGACAGUAAUUUGUUCACCCACCGUAAUAUUUGCUAUUUUGAGAGAAGCCUCUAGUGAACACUAUGGCCCCCGGGUCUACUUCACACCAUAUUUUCAGCCUUACUCUUUUACUUCGUUGCACUUUCCGUCUUCAGACCUCACUUUGCAAUCAAUCCUAAAGGGAUUGACAACCCCUUUAUAGCGUUGGGUGCAAGCUCUUUUGUGUUUGCGCAUGUACUCUGGACUUGACGAGAUUCUCCUACUGGAUUGAUACCUUGGUUCUCAAACUGAGGGAAAUACUUACUGCUCCUGUGCUGCAUCACCCUUUCCUCUUCAAGGGAAAAACCAACGCAAGCCAAGUCUCCGUCAACGUGCCAAUUUCUGACGGUGUUGUUUGAGAAGUAGCAGAAGGAUUUCUGGCGCCGUUGCUGGGGAGGAUCAAGUCAAGAACUCAUCCAAUUAAGUGUCGCAAACUCAUCUCUUGCAUUUACUUUUUUGCCUCUCGUUUUCCUCUCCCCCACUUCUUAAAAACAAAAAUUUACAAAAAUAUUUGCCUUUUUCAUUUGCAUUUUUCGUUCGCCCUUUUCUCCCGCUUGCUUUCUGUUCGCUUGUGUGCUUGCUUGCCUGUUGAAGUCACCAUGACUGAAAAACACCAAAUUUUGUGACUUCUUGAAUACUAAUAAUAAUGAUUUUAUUAGUACUCCGAUUGCUCCUGCCACUAGUGCGGAAUCAUACGAAAUCAAUGCUGCUUUGCUGAAUCUUGUUAUGAAAGAGCAAUUCUCCGGCCUUCCUAGUGAAGAUGCCGCAUCCCAUCUUAAUACCUUCAUUGAGCUUUGCGAUAUGCAAAAGAAGAAAGAUGUAGAUAAUGAUGUGAUUAAAUUGAAGCUUUUUCCUUUCUCGUUGUGAGAUCGAGCAAAAACUUGGUUUUCGUCUUUGCCCAAAAAUAGUAUUGAUUCUUGGAAUAAGUGCAAAGAUGCUUACAUAUCCAAGUAUUUUCCGCCGGCUAAGAUUAUCUCUCUCCGUAAUGAUAUUAUGAAUUUUAAGCAACUUGAUCAUGAACAUGUUACACAAUCUUGGGAGAGAAUGAAAUUGAUGAUUAGAAAUUGUCCCGCUCAUGGCUUGAGUCUUUGGAUGAUUAUACAAAUCUUUUACGCUGGCUUGAAUUUCGCUUCUAGAAAUAUCUUGGACUCCGCCUCGGGUGGAACGUUCAUGGAAAUCACGUUAGGAGAAGCUACAAAACUCCUAGACAAUAUCAUGACGAACUACUCUCGGUGGCACACUGAAAGGUCACCUACUAGUAAGAAGGUACACGCUAUAGAAGAAAUUAACUCGUUGAGUGCUAAGAUGGAUGAGUUAAUGAAUUUGGUUUCUAGUAGAAGUGCUCCUUUAGAUCCUAAUGACAUGCCCUUGUCUUCCUUGAUUGAGAGUAGCAACGCUAGCUUGGACAUUAAUUUUGUUGGUAGGAAUAAUUUUGGCAACAACAAUGCUUUUAGUGGAAACUAUGUUCCUAGGCCUUUUCCUAGUAACCCCUCUAAUAACUUUGGCAACUCCUACAACAAUACUCAUGGAAAUUACAAUAUAUUACCCUCUGAUCUAGAGAGUAAUAUCAAACAGUUUAUCAACUCACAAAAGAUUUUCAAUGCGUCCAUAGAGGAAAAACUACUCAAAAUUGACGAUUUGGCUAGGAGCGUUGAUAGAAUGUCUAGUGAUAUUUAUGCUUUGAAAGUUAGAUGUGCUCCUUCCAAGAUCAAUAUGGAUGCAACUUUGAAAGCUAUGCGUGUUUCCAUGAGUGAGAGCAAAGAAAGAACCGUCCAAAUUCGUGCUAGACAUCAAUGGCUUAAAAGGGCGUGUUCUCGUGAUAAGAAUCACGAAGAUCUUAAAGUGCUUGGUGGGACUCCCAUUGAAUCUUUGUUUUCUUGUGUCAAACCUAAUGAUGAUAGGGCUGGAUAUGAAUCCACUUUGGUUUAAAAACGCCCCAAUGAUUCGGAGUCCAUCUAUCUUGAUGCUAAAAGCAAUAAAAGUGGAGUAGUAGAUAUUAAAACUUUGAGUAGUAAUGAAAUUACUACUUUGGAGUUCAAGGAAUUCAAUUAUGAUAGUUGCUCCUUGAUUGAAUGCAUUUUCUUGAUGCAAUCCGUGCUAAACUCUCCACACGCUUAUAGCCAAAACAAGGCCUUUACCGAUCAUAUCGUCGAAGCUAUGAUAAAAUCUCUUGAAGAGAAACUUGAAUUGGAAGUUUCUAUCCCUAGAAAGCUUCAUGAUGAGUGGGGACCUACUAUCAAAAUCAAAAUCAAAAACUAUGAAUGCAAUGCUUUGUGUGAUUUGGGUGCUAGUGUUUCCGCGAUUCCAAAGUCUUUAUGUGAUGUUCUGGGUUUUAAUGAGAUUGAGGAGUGUUCUCUUAAUUUGCAUCUUGCGGAUUCUAAGAAUUUUCCUAGAAAGAAAAUAAGAUUGCCUUAUGAAUCCAUGAUGAGGGCUACUUAUGGUUUGAGCACCAAACACGAUGAUGCGUGAUUCUAUCGCCUUAUGCCUAGCUAAGGGCGUUAAACAAUAGCGCUUGUUGGGAGGCAACCCAAUGAAUUUAUCUUUUUCUUUCUGUUUUGUUGCGUCCACACCAUCAUAAUUCUGUUAUGAUUGUGUCUUUUGUGUUUCUUUUUGUGUUUGAGCCUAGCAAAACCUUUAUGACUAGUCUUGGUGAUGGUUGUUUGGUCCUGCUGGAAAAAGAUAGAAACUUUUCGCUCACGAGAUUAUUUUUCAUUUUUAUUCAUAAAGAGAUUUUGAGUUGAUUAUUUUUGCUGCUGGUUGAUAUGCCUUUUUCCCAAGCAGUCGUAAUGUUUCAGAAUUUUUGAGGUACCAGAAUUAUACGAAGUAUACAGAUUGCUACAGACUGGUCUGUUUUGACAGAUUCUGUUUUUUGAGUUGGUUGCUUGUUUUGAUGAAACUAUGGAUAGUAUCGGGGGGGUACUAGCCAUGGAAAAGUGAGAAUACAGUAAUAUAACACCAUUAUGAAUAGAAAUCAAGUUUGCUACAGUACCUAAAGAGGUGGUAGUUUGUUUUCUUGUGCUAAUGAUAUCACGAGUUUCUGUUUAAGUUUUGUGUUGUGAAGUUUUCAUGUUUUGGGUGAUGUUUUCAUGGACAAAGGGAUAAAGAGUGGAAAGAGCUCAAGCUUGGGGAUGCCCAAGGCAUCCCAAGCCAAAUUCAAGGACACCAAAAAGCCUAAGCUUGGGGAUGCCCCGGGAAGGCAUCCCCUCUUUCGUCUUCAAUCCAUCGGUAACAUUACUUGGAGCUAUAUUUUUAUUCACCACAUGAUAUGUGUUUUGCUUGGAGCGUCUUGUAUCGUAGGAGUCUUUUAUUUUUGUUGUGUCACAAUCAUCCUUGCUGCAAUACAUUUUCUAAGAGAGAAGCACCUACUCAUGUGUUUAUAUCUAGAUAUUGCAUUCCUAUCAUGUGAUUCUUGACUUCUAGCCUUUCCAAGUUGCUUUCCACCCAAUCAACCUCUUCCACCAUGCCAAAUCCUAUGAGAGAGUGGUUGAGUGUUGAGGAGACUAUCUUUUGAAGCACAAGAGCAAGGAGUUCAUCAUCUAUACACCAUCUAUUAACUUUUGGAGAGUGGUGUCUCCUAGAUUGGUUAGGUGUUGCUUAGGAGCCUCCAAAUCUUGUGGAGUUGAACCAAGAAGUUUGUAAGGGCAAAGAGACCGCCUACUUCAUGAAGAUCUACCUUGAGUGAGGCUAGUCCUUCGUGGACGUAAGUCAUGAUGGAAUAGACAAUGUUGCUUCUUCGUUGACCCUUAAUGGUGGGAUCUCUCCAUGGACUCGCGCAACAGUUACCCUCCAUGGGUUGAAGUCUACACAAAUGUGGAUGUCCAAUAGCACCACCUAUCGGAACCAUGCCAAACAUAUUCGUGUCUUCAUUGUGUUUGAUCUUCCACCUCUACCAUCCUUUAUGUUUCUUGCAAAUGCAUGAUAUUUGCAUCCUGUUCCUUGAUCUCUAGAUAUGCAUGUGUAGGAACUAUUGGAUGCAACUUAACAUCUGCAAAAAUCUGCCUAAAACUCAAGCAAAUCAAAAACUGCUCAUAUGUCUUGUUAGGUGUCUAUUCACCCCCCUCUAGACGCCACUUCUCGGUCCUACAAUAAGAGGAAGGGGAGGAGGGAGCGGAGCACCUCAGCACAGCAGGCGACAGUGAAAAAUAAUUAGAGAGGGGCUUGACGGUGGCAGGGUGAGGAUGUGAAAUGGAGAAGGAGAGUGGACACAUAUUAUAAGGAUCAUGUACACAAGAACAUUGACCAGUCGGAGAAGGUUCGUAUUGUCCUACUAGGUAUCAAGGAGUGGUGCGAACACAUCAUCACUCACUAGUUGAUUCUCGGUCGGUCAGUGAUAUCCCUCCAGCUGAGCCCUCGGGUCCCUAUCACUGACACCUCCAGGAAGUCUGACCAAUGAUGACACUCAUCACUAAUGAGUUGUCUUGGAAAUCUCAGUGAUGAGGGGUCAGUGCUAAAAUGUAUUCUAAUAAUGGAGUUGGAGAGUCUCCAAUUAGAAUUUUAUAAGCUAUGGAGACACUAAAGUCGAUAUCAAUCUAUUGCUAAGCCCUAGUGUCAAAUGUUGCCUGAAGCCAAUGUUACCCACAAGAUUCUCUAGUUGUUGCAUUCGGUUAAGGGCUCCGUCGAACAAAGUGAGAUGGAAGAGCAAUGUGUAUGUUGCUGCUGGACUACCUACUAGAUGGAUAUAUUAUUUCUUUUGGCAUAAUAAUAGAGGCGAGGACACAAAUUCUUAAGGAUAUAAGGGAUCCACUUAUCUUAUCAUAGCAUAAUGUAUUGUGUUUUGCAAUGAGCUAUGGACUUAAAAGAAUCAAGGAGCUUUGGCAGCCCCUCCACUAGAAGGAUGCAUGUUUAAUUUGUUUGUAGUAAGACCAGGUUAAUGGUAAGCUUCUCAGAUAGCUUGACCCGGGAAAAGUUAUGCUUAUUGUGGAACGUGUGAAUAUGUUUCAUUAACGCACAUUCAUUCUUAGAUUGUUCAUCCCUAAACCUCCUUGGUCUUUGGCUUGGAUACUAGCUCUUAGCCGGCUAGAUGUGGAUUUUUCUAUAUCACAUCAUUAUGUGCCCAAAGUUAGUGUCUCAUAUAUUUAUCCACUUCUUCAAUUAUCCCAUUAUAUACUUUGAGGUAGCUUAAUAAGAAUAUGGGAAAAUAAGAUAGAACGACAUUAACCACUCGGAGCAUGCCACAAUAGAUAAAGAAAUGAGCCCAUCCGGAAAGCCUUCUUUGGAUUCUGGAUAUGAGUGACAUGAAGAACUCAUUCGGUUUAGUAGUACUCAGGGGCAAUUCAAGAUAAGUGAAAGGAUGGGUAUCAAGUUGGAAUUGCAUAACAAAAAUGAAAAUUUGAACCCUCCCUUCAGGUGUUUUUAUUGGGAACAUGUUGACUUGGUGUAGUUUACUUUGUGCCAAGUUUUUAGGGCAAUUUUGUGAAGAAGGCCUUGCAAAUUCUUCAAUUGGGACUCACUGAUUGACAUAAUAAUACACUUCUCAUCUGGAUACUACAUGAUAUGGUUGGGUAGAUUUGGCAGGAUUGCAAUGGCAGAGGCCUUGCCAAAGUCCUUUGAGCAAGAGCCUCAUUGAUGGCAAACUUAAGUAUAUUAGCACGUAUAAAAUGUAGAAGAGGGUGGACGAGAUCUCCUUGUCUAACUUCCAUUUUACAUUUAAAGGUAGGUCCUGGAACUCCAUUUUCCUCCAUCUUAUUAAUUUACCUGGGGAAAAGCUCCAAUUAUAAGAAAAUUGGACAAAAAUCAUGAGCAUAGCUAGUCCAAGAGCCUCAUGCUUCAACACUACAACUCUUGGUGCUCAACCUCAGCUCGAGACAUCACAUUCAAGGACAAGGCCAACUAUACAGACUUCACAUGCACAGAAUAUAUAUAUCAAGGCGAUUCACAAACUUUCAUUGCCAUCACCCAUAUAUCUCAUCCGACCCAAUAACUUUGAGACGAACACUAGUCAUGCAUUGAGCAUAGGUGCUCGGAAAUUUACCAUUUGAAUGCACUACAUACUCCCUCCAUCCCAAAAAUCUUGUCUUAGGUUUGUCUAGAAAUGGAGGUAUCUAAAUACUAAAAUGUGACUAGAUACCUUCAUAUGUAGAUAAAUCUAAGACAAGAAUUUUGGGACGGAGGGAGUAAUAAGGUACUGCAUCCAGAAAGGAAAUACCAAACCAAUACGGAUAUAGUACCUCCGUCUAGAAAUAUCUACAAAGGAAAUACCGGACCAAUACGGAUAUAGUACCACCAUCUAAAAAUAUAAUAGGUAUAUGAACAGUCGACGUGUUAGAACUUUGAAUAGAUUGAGCAUGCAAGAAUAAUACUCCAUCCGUUCCUAAAUAUAAGUCCUUUCAGAUAUUUCACUACGGAUUAUAUACGAAACAAAAUGAGUAAUCACACUCCAUUUAGCCUUGGAACCAUUUGCCGAGGAGGGCCCUAUUCUUAAUCUCAAGGUCAUGAAUGCCCAACCCGCCUUGGUCUUUGGGACGGAAAAUCACACUCCAUUUAGCCCGUCGAUAUUUCUUCCUCUUACUAUCUCCUUGCCAAAAGAAUCUUGAUCGGAAGUAAUCCAAUCUAAGUAAAACUCCUUUCGGCAAUUAAAAGAAGGAAAUCAUAUAUAGUACCAUAUUACUUAGUACGGAAUUUAUGAGGACCAAUCUACCACCCAGAGACAGCAGUUUACCUUUCCAACUGCUAAGUCUUUUUUGCACCCUCUCCUCAACGUGUUUCCAUUCAGAAUUUGUGAGUCUCCGAUAUUGUAUCGGUAUCCCCAAAUAUGUGAUUGGAAACUGGUGUUGGGUAACGUAGUAUGAACUCCCACUUAAAUCGACAUCCCUCUAGUCAUCUAAGUGAUACAUGAUCCAUGUUGACUAACCCGUGUCCGAUCAUCACGUGAGACGGACUAGUCACCAUGGUGAGCAACUUCAUGCUGAUCGUAUUCAACCAUACGACUCAUGUUCGACCUUUCGGUCUCUUGUAUUCAAGGUCAUGUCUGUACAUGCUAAGCUCGUCGAGUCAACCUAGGUGUUUCGCGUGUGUAAAUCUGGCUUACACCCGUUGUAUGUGAACGUUAGAAUCUAUCACACCCGAUCAUCACGUGGUGCUUCGAGACAACGAUCCUUUGCAACGGUGCACACCUAGGGGAAUACGUUCUCGAAAUUUUAAGAGGGAUCAUCUUAUUAUGCUACCGUCGUUCUAAGCAAUAAGAUGAAAAACAUGAUAAACAUCACAAUGCAAUCAUAUAGUGACAUGAUAUGGCCAUUAUCAUCUUUGCUCUUUCGAUCUCCAUCUUCAGGCAUCGCAUGAUCAUCAUCGUCACCGGCGUGACACCAUGAUCUCCAUCAUCAUGAUCUCCAUCAUCGUGUCUCCGUGAAGUCAUCACGCCAACUACUACUAUCACUACUACUAUAGCUAACCGUUAGCAAUAAAGUAAAAGUAGUAAGCACAUGGUGUUGCAUCUCAUACAAUAAAUUAUGACAACUCCUAUGGCUCCUGCCGGUUGUCAUACUCAUCGACAUGCAAGUCGUGAAACCUAUUACAAUAACAUGAUCAUCUCAUACAUCAUACAUGCAACAUCACAACUUUGGCCAUAUCACAUCACANNNNNNNNNNNNNNNNNNNNNNNNNNNNNNNNNNNNNNNNNNNNNNNNNNNNNNNNNNNNNNNNNNNNNNNNNNNNNNNNNNNNNNNNNNNNNNNNNNNNCCCCNCCCAAAAAAAAAUUCCUCUCAAGAUAGAAAUGAAAAUUGUGGCGCUAUAUUUACCCGCAAACAAAAAAAAAGAACCGUCCACUGUACAAAAUGGGGAAGAAUUAGAUCCGGCGAGUGGCCGCUCGCCGGCACGCGCUUGCCUUGCGGGGCCCACGCACCGCUCUAUCCCCCCCCCUUNNNNNNNNNNNNNNNNNNNNNNNNNNNNNNNNNNNNNNNNNNNNNNNNNNNNNNNNNNNNNNNNNNNNNNNNNNNNNNNNNNNNNNNNNNNNNNNNNNNNNNNNNNNNNNNNNNNNNNNNNNNNNNNNNNNNNNNNNNNNNNNNNNNNNNNNNNNNNNNNNNNNNNNNNNNNNNNNNNNNNNNNNNNNNNNNNNNNNNNNNNNNNNNNNNNNNNNNNNNNNNNNNNNNNNNNNNNNNNNNNNNNNNNNNNNNNNNNNNNNNNNNNNNNNNNNNNNNNNNNNNNNNNNNNNNNNNNNNNNNNNNNNNNNNNNNNNNNNNNNNNNNCCCCCCCCCUUGUUAUCUUUGUCUUCACCGAACAACCUUAUCCAUGCAUUCCCCGGUGUUGACUCCAUCUUCUCCUUCUUUUUCUAUCUCUCCCUUGUGUCCCCCGUCUCCGUUGCGGUCAAACACGGGGGUCAUGUGCCUUCCCUAGGAGGCCAACGCCCCCCCCCCUUUCCUCCUAUCUCUUCGAUGGCUCCACACUGCGAAGCUCCGUCGACACCCCACUCUUUGCGGCUCUUGUGCUUCCUGGCGCACCUUCACUUCCUCNNNNNNNNNNNNNNNNNNNNNNNNNNNNNNNNNNNNNNNNNNNNNNNNNNNNNNNNNNNNNNNNNNNNNNNNNNNNNNNNNNNNNNNNNNNNNNNNNNNNNNNNNNNNNNNNNNNNNNNNNNNNNNNNNNNNNNNNNNNNNNNNNNNNNNNNNNNNNNNNNNNNNNNNNNNNNNNNNNNNNNNNNNNNNNNNNNNNNNNNNNNNNNNNNNNNNNNNNNNNNNNNNNNNNNNNNNNNNNNNNNNNNNNNNNNNNNNNNNNNNNNNNNNNNNNNNNNNNNNNNNNNNNNNNNNNNNNNNNNNNNNNNNNNNNNNNNNNNCUUCACUUCCUCUAGAGCCUCCUCACAUAGCUCUGCUCUGAGUUGUCACAAGGUCAAUGGAGGACAGGCGACGCAGCCAAGUGGCAAGCCCUUGACUCGCUCUUUUGGUUAUUUUUCUAUCUCUCUCACGUGAUCCUCUGCCACUGUUGCGGGCAAACCUAGUGUUCAUGUGUCUUCGCAAGCCGGCCAACAACCUCCUCUCCAUCUAUCGCUCUCGCGAAUCCACGCUUCAGCGUUCCACCGACACCCCACUUCUUUACGGCUCUUGUGCUCACUCUCGCACCUUCACUUCCUCNNNNNNNNNNNNNNNNNNNNNNNNNNNNNNNNNNNNNNNNNNNNNNNNNNNNNNNNNNNNNNNNNNNNNNNNNNNNNNNNNNNNNNNNNNNNNNNNNNNNNNNNNNNNNNNNNNNNNNNNNNNNNNNNNNNNNNNNNNNNNNNNNNNNNNNNNNNNNNNNNNNNNNNNNNNNNNNNNNNNNNNNNNNNNNNNNNNNNNNNNNNNNNNNNNNNNNNNNNNNNNNNNNNNNNNNNNNNNNNNNNNNNNNNNNNNNNNNNNNNNNNNNNNNNNNNNNNNNNNNNNNNNNNNNNNNNNNNNNNNNNNNNNNNNNNNNNNNNNNNNNNNNNNNNNNNNNNNNNNNNNNNNNNNNNNNNNNNNNNNNNNNNNNNNNNNNNNNNNNNNNNNNNNNNNNNNNNNNNNNNNNNNNNNNNNNNNNNNNNNNNNCGUGCUGCUGCAAAGCGGGUGGAGCUACAUGGGCGUCCAACAGCACUGUUGCGAUGGACAAUCACCGGUAUUGUGACAGAAGAGCCUACCAGUGUCAUGACAGAUGGCCACAGGGCGAUACGGCAGGCGGCAACCGGCGGAAUGAGGCGUGUGGCACUCGUGGUGGAACACAACGAUACUUUAUGCUAGAACUAACAUUCGAUAGUUCGUCGACGAUGGGUUAGUGAUGUUGCUUUUUCAUCUAGAGAGCUAAGCGGCAACGAUAGGGUAAUGCUUGAACCAGCGAUCGCUCGUACUGGAAACGACGCCUAGGCAUGUUGGGUGACGCAUUGGCACAACACACACUGAUGCUAGAAUCGGUGGCUCGGCGUGUUGCAAGGAGGCAACGGUGAAUCAUGAUGUUGGAACUAACUGUUGGGGAAUGUCGCAUGGGAAACAAANNNNNNNNNNNNNNNNNNNNNNNNNNNNNNNNNNNNNNNNNNNNNNNNNNNNNNNNNNNNNNNNNNNNNNNNNNNNNNNNNNNNNNNNNNNNNNNNNNNNUGAUCCCGUUAUCAAGUGACAACACUUGCCUAUGGUCAGGAAACCUUGAGCAUCUUUCAUCAACGAGCUAGUCAACUAGAGGCUUACUAGGGACAGUGUUUUGUCUAUGUAUCCACACAUGCACUGUGUUUCCAAUCAAUACAAUUAUAGCAUGGAUAAUAAACGAUUAUCAUGAACAAAGAAAUAUAAUAAUAACUAAUUUAUUAUUGCCUCUAGGGCAUAUUUCCAACACAUAGCUAGUAGCUAGAUGGCUUCUUCUCUCUCUUGGAUCUUCAAUACAAAGUUCUCCAUGAUCUUCAUGGAGAUCUAUCUGAUGUAAUCUUCUUUUGCGGUGUGUUUGUCGAGAUCCGAUGAAUUGUGGAUUUAUGAUCAGAUUAUCUAUGAAUCUUAUUUGAGUUUCUUCUAAUCUCUCUUAUGCAUGAUUUCAUAUCCUUGUAAUUCUCAUCGAGUUGUGGGUUUUGUUUGGCCAACUAGAUCUAUGAUUCUUGCAAUGGGAGAAGUGCUUGGUUUUGGGUUCAUACCGUGCGUUGACCUCACCCACUGACAGAAGGGGUAGCAAGGCACGCAUCGUGUUGUUGCCAUCAAGGGUAAAAAGAUGGGGUUUUCAUCAUUGGUUUGAGAUUAUCCCUCUACAUCAUGUCAUCUUGCUUAAGGCGUUACUCUGUUCGUCAUGAAUUCAAUACACUAGAUGCAUGCUGGAUAGCGGUCGAUGUGUGGAGUAAUAGUAGUAGAUGCAGAAAGUAUCGGUCUACUUGUCUCGGACGUGAUGCCUAUAUGUAUGAUCAUUGCCUUAGAUAUCGUCAUGACUUUGCACGGUUCUAUCAAUUGCUCGACAGUAAUUUGUCCACCCACCGUAAUACUUGCUAUUUUGAUAGAAGCUGUCGUGGAUAUAAGUCUGACAGUAGAUGUGUAGGGUACGAAAGGAUGGGCAGAGCCUUAGCUACGGCGAGGUUGUAUGAGUUCAGGCCCCUCUACCAUGGAGGUAACAGCCCUACGUCUCAGUGCUCUUGGGAGCUUGAUGUCGAGUGGAAUAUGGAUUACCGUGAAUUGCUAACCCCUGCACCAGUGGGGAAGGGCGACUUAUAUAGAGUGCGCUGCCCUUCACAACGGUUCGGUGCACAGGGGUGGAGUAGUGGCAAUUAAAUGUCUACGUUACAGGUAACGUAUGCCUUAAAUGCUAAUAAAGGUACAUGAAAACGUAUGACCGUUGCCCUCCAGGUGGGUUACGAUGUACAGAGUGGAAUCCAGUCGGUAAAUUUGAUACGCUCCGAAUGCUCAUCUCCGACUGGAUGAUGGAGGAAUCAUCACCGACUGGAUGAUGGGAAGUCCUUAAUUCAGUCGGAACUGACUAAGGGCCUUGUCCCUUAUGAAGGGUAGUCCUUGGGUAGGACCUAUAGGGCAGGCCUAUGACCCUACCCUAGGACUAUAACCCCAUCAUUAGUCCCCGAAUGGAUCGGGGUUGGAACGACGAAGCGAUGCUUGGAGUACGGAUCCGACUGGUGUGGAUGCGACUUUGGCGUUGUUUGCCUCGAUCCAUUUUAUCCUCUUGACCAGUGAUCCGAGUGGAUAUAUCUGUGAAACGAACCGUCAGAGACCGAGUGCUUUCAUGGAAUCUUUUGACGUGACCGACAUCGUCAUCGGCAGGAGUGGAUUUUCUGGGAUCCUCAAAUUUCGGUUGUCGCGCGCUCAGCGGGGAUGACGACAUCGUCAUCGAGUAGUAUCUGCCGCCUCGAUUUCCGUGCCUUCAUCUCCUCCACUAGUAUCGCAGCAACCGGUCGGGGGAUAAGAUUUCGGGGCCACCUGCUAGUGACCCAGUCGGAACCUUAUUUAAACCUCUCCAGCGAGGGUUUCUUGUUGCACUCGCCUGAUAACUCGCACUCGCCCCGCUUCUCCCGUGGCUUCCUGCGCACCCCAAGCUCCUUCCUUCUUCUCCUCCUCCGCGGAUCUGCAGCCUCCACCAUGAGGAAGGGGCAGACGAGCAAGCUCGAGGCGCGGAAGAAGAAGAAGACGGCGGUUCCCGCUCAACGGCGACAACGGGCACUGCCGGCGGGUUGGAUCCAGGGGGAUUUCCCCCCCUCCAGAGUGACGAAGAGCGACAUGCUGGAGCUGGUGGAGCAAGGCCUGAUCGAGAACAAGACGUGGAGGCUGCCGGCGGAGGGCGAGACGGAGCCGGCGCCCCAGGAGGGGGAGCGCGUCUUGCUGCUCAGUCACGUGUACCGAGACUUCUCUCUACCUCCUCAUCCCUUCUUCAGAGGUAUAAUGAACCACUUCGGGGCGCAGCUCCACCAUUUUCCUCCCAGCGCAAUAGCUCAUCUCUCUGCCUUCGUCGUGCUUUGCGAGUGUUUUAUCGGUUGUCCUCCUCAUUGGGGGCUCUUUAAGCACAUCUUCUCCGCUAGAUCCCAAACCAUCAAAAGACUUAGCCAGUCGGACGACAAAACUCAUCUCCUCCAGCUCUGCGGAGGCUUAGGCUUCCAGAAGAAAAGCAAAAGUAGCUAUCCCGCUCUUUAGUUGUCUGAAUCCGUUAGGAACUGGCAGUCGACUUGGUUCUACUACAUGGACGUCGCUUGUCCGAAUGCCGCAACUGGACUGCCACCUUUUAGCCUAGACCGACCGGCUCCGCCUAGGCAGCUUGCGCUCACGAAUAUGGAAAAGAUCUAGAUUCAGCCUCUGGUCGACGCGCUGGUAGAUGUCGUCCGCAAGGGAGUCACCGGCACAGAUUUGCUGGAGAUUUUUCUGGGUCGGCGUAUCCAGCCUUUGCAAGCUCGACACCACGCCAUGUGGCACUACACGGGGCCUGAGGACUCCACUCGGACUCACCCCGAGUGCGUGACCCGGGAGGUUGUGACGGCGUGGAUCCGCAGCAUCACAAGCGCCUGCGAUAACCCCAGAGGAGCGCGACGAGUGAAGCCCUUCCGCGCGGACAACCCUCCU
Molecule: long non-coding RNA, 43724 nt
Filed under: Hordeum vulgare
Lineage: Eukaryota; Viridiplantae; Streptophyta; Magnoliopsida; Poales; Poaceae
Description: long non-coding RNA (HVUL_LNC008596)
Rfam family: MIR1120/MIR1122 microRNA precursor family (bases 36756-36891)
Source: RNAcentral